Molecule: ribosomal RNA, 253 nt
Filed under: uncultured bacterium
Lineage: Bacteria
Description: partial 16S ribosomal RNA
Rfam family: Bacterial small subunit ribosomal RNA
Source: RNAcentral
UACGAAGGGGGCUAGCGUUGUUCGGAAUUACUGGGCGUAAAGCGCGCGCAGGCGGCUAUCCAAGUCAGUGGUGAAAGCCCGGGGCUCAACUCCGGAAUUGCCUUUAAGACUGCAUCGCUAGAAUUGUGGAGAGGUAAGUGGAAUUCCGAGUGUAGAGGUGAAAUUCGUAGAUAUUCGGAAGAACACCAGUGGCGAAGGCGACUUACUGGACACAUAUUGACGCUGAGGUGCGAAAGCGUGGGGAGCAAACAGG